Long non-coding RNA from Malus domestica (apple), 739 nucleotides. RefSeq lists it as uncharacterized. The record is from RefSeq and is a predicted model, not a curated record. NCBI's taxonomy places the organism in Eukaryota, Viridiplantae, Streptophyta, Magnoliopsida, Rosales, Rosaceae.
UUUGUCCUAGCCAAUAUCUUAAGAUUUGUAACUCUACAACUAUUAAUGGGAACAAUCUCUAAUUCUGAGAGUGUAGCCUGACUUUGGUGAAUCACAUAGAUCUUGCAAGUGAGUGUGUGUGAGAGAUGAGAGAUCUAAGCAUCACCAUACAAGGUCGAGUUUGUGUGUGAAAUCUAAACACCAUCAUACAAGGUGGAGUUUGAGAAAUGAGGAUGACGAGAGGAAAAGAAGGCGGGAUGAAGAUUGACGGAAAUGGGAAUUCAGGAUAUAUAGAGAAACUGGGGUACAACGGUAAUUUCAAGUUUGCAACAGAGGAUGUAGAUUGGACCCGCAAAAGAUGUCAAAAGAGGAGAUGUCAUUAUGCUUCGAUAAAAGAUCAAAUCUGGGCGUUUUGAAUGCAUAUGGUAAAAGAGUAACAGAAAGAGACUCAUGAUCUUUAUUGUGUGUAUCGACAAAAAAGAGCAAAAAUUAAAUGCAUUUCUAAAAAGACCGAUGGCCAAAAAACCGAUGGCCAAAAAACAAUGUAUUUAUGUUUCGAUUUUAUUUUUAACUUAUUGGGUGCUCCAAUAGAAGAAAAAUUGUGUAUAUUUAUGUCAUAAUUUUCUAAUUAUUUCUCUGCUAGCUGGGUUAAUUAAUAUUGCCCCUAUUGAUGUAUUUUUCUAAUGUAUUACAAGGUUAUUUGUGUUUAUUGUCAUAUAUUACGACUUUCUCUAAUAAAAGUGGAAUAUGUUUAGAUGUA